UGGACCCGCGGCGUAUUAGCUAGUUGGUGAGGUAAUGGCUCACCAAGGCGAUGAUACGUAGCCGACCUGAGAGGGUGAUCGGCCACACUGGGACUGAGACACGGCCCAGACUCCUACGGGAGGCAGCAGUAGGGAAUCUUCCGCAAUGGGCGAAAGCCUGACGGAGCAAGACCGCGUGGGGGAAGAAGGCUCUUGGGUUGUAAACCCCUUUUCUCUGGGAAGAAAGUUGUG
RNAcentral lists this ribosomal RNA (231 nucleotides) under uncultured Alkalibacterium sp. RNAcentral describes it as "partial 16S ribosomal RNA". It matches the Rfam family "Bacterial small subunit ribosomal RNA", at positions 226 to 456 of the family's 1533-position model. Lineage: Bacteria; Bacillati; Bacillota; Bacilli; Lactobacillales; Carnobacteriaceae. The record is from RNAcentral.